UAAAUAGUCCAAGAAGUGCAGGGAAGUCCAUUUAGAACCGCAGGAACAGUGCUCGGGAAGGCUGCUGGGGCAGAAAUCACUGGCGGCGCGUCUUCCCACGCGCCACCGCCACUGGCGGCGCGUGGGUGCACGCGCCACCGUGAGAAGGAGCUGGAAAACAGCUGGUCCAGACAGCUUCUUCUUCUCCUGUCUUCCUAAACCAUCGGUGAUCUGCAGAACAAGGAAAUAAACACACAGCAGUUGAUUUUAGUUUUUUUUCUUUGAUUUCAAAUCUAUUUUUGUUCCCUUUUUUAGAUCUGCAUCGUUUUUGAUCUGCUCCUCUUUCUCUUCUUCUUCGUUGCAGAUCAGUCCGUGGGUUUCUUCUUCUUCCGUGGCCGACCUGCUGUGGAGUGAGGAGUGGUUGUCCGGUCGGUGGGGGGAUCGCCUGCUGCUGUGUGGCUCGGUGGAAGCCGGUUCUGUGGAGCUGGGUCUGCUGGAUCUUUGGACGGCGCUACUGCGGAGACGCCGCUGGUUCGCCCA
RNAcentral lists this long non-coding RNA (519 nucleotides) under Populus tremula. RNAcentral describes it as "long non-coding RNA (PTRE_LNC002083)". The record is from RNAcentral. Lineage: Eukaryota; Viridiplantae; Streptophyta; Magnoliopsida; Malpighiales; Salicaceae.